GACGAGAGGUCCAAGCGUUGUCCGGAGUUACUGGGCGUAAAGGGUGUGUAGGAGGUCGUAUUAGUCUUGUUUUAAAUCUUCGGGCCCAACCCGAAGGCUGGACGGGAAACGGUACGACUAGAGGGUACGAGAGGCAAGCGGAACUCAUGGUGGAGGGGUGAAAUCCGUUGAUAUCAUGGGGAACACCAAAGGCGAAGGCAGCUUGCUGGCGUAUACCUGACUCUGAAACACGAAAGCGUGGGGAUCAAAAAGG
RNAcentral lists this ribosomal RNA (253 nucleotides) under uncultured bacterium. RNAcentral's name for it is "partial 16S ribosomal RNA". It matches the Rfam family "Bacterial small subunit ribosomal RNA", at positions 524 to 776 of the family's 1533-position model. The record is from RNAcentral.